This 242-nucleotide long non-coding RNA is filed under the name Mytilus galloprovincialis (Mediterranean mussel). The record is from RNAcentral. Lineage: Eukaryota; Metazoa; Mollusca; Bivalvia; Mytilida; Mytilidae.
GGGCUUAUUUCAUACACGGUUAGUAGUGGAGUUACGUCCCUUUAUAUUCCAUAAAAGGUAAUAAGGAGGCGGGGCUUAUUUCAUACACGGUUAGUAAUGGUGUUACGUCCCUUUAGAAAAACAAAACAGUACUGAGAAAAAAUCUUAAAGGUUUCAACAGUCGAAGAAAGUGAUGAUAAAGUGAAAUAAAUUCAUAAAACACAUUUAAAUCUAACAAGUUGUCAUUGUUGGCAUCUGUUUUU